Molecule: transfer RNA, 70 nt
Filed under: Dipodomys merriami (Merriam's kangaroo rat)
Lineage: Eukaryota; Metazoa; Chordata; Mammalia; Rodentia; Heteromyidae
Description: tRNA-Asp
Source: RNAcentral
AAGAUAUUAGUAAAGUCAAUUACAUAACUUUGUCAAAGUUAAAUCAUAAGCUAAACACUUAUAUAUCUUU